Molecule: long non-coding RNA, 1768 nt
Organism: Grus americana (Whooping crane)
Lineage: Eukaryota; Metazoa; Chordata; Aves; Gruiformes; Gruidae
Exons: 3
Source: RefSeq, a predicted model, not a curated record
GGGAGCGAGUUUGGGGGUCGUGGUGGAGGGGUUUUAUGGCUAGCGCCGGGGCGAGGGCUGUCUGGGAGCAGUUCCCCUUGGCUGGGCAAAGGGAGCGGGUUACAUGUCACCACGAUGCUAGACCGGGCAGGGCAGUUGCAGCCUGUGUUAUGUCUGCGUGUCUCGUCCUGUGUGUCUUAGCCCUUCCUUGGGUCUCAACGCCCUCUUGGCGCUCGAGGGGCAUGGCAUGCUUCUCGGGCGCCGUCCCUAGGCUCUCGAACGCCGGUACUUGUCAGCGUACCGCCAAUCGGGCGCUUCUUUUCUCGCAUAGCGAGAUUACGGCGUGGAUCAUUCUUGCGUGUCGGAAGUUUCUGGAGGGUCCUCUAUUUGCAGCGCUAUACCAGGCUGCGUUCGGAGCUCUGCUCUCCAGCUAUCCGUUUUCAGGGACUGGGUCUUCCUCCCUGCAUCCUUACCUCCUUAGGUCUUGAAGACGGGCUUCUUGCUGCCCCCAUCAUCUCGGUUUUGACAGUAACUUCUUAUAACGGGCCAUUUACGGUCAAUUCUCUUCUGGGGUUGCCAUAGAGCUUCCUCACCUGGGUGUCGUGCCCUAUAGGUCGCCUUGCUCGGCAGCCUCUCCGGUCCGGGAGUCAUUCCUCUCGCUAAGAGUGUUCUCUCGUUUGUGAGUUGCGUUGUUUGUAGCGUUCUGUGUAGCGUCUGUCUCUGUGUGUGGUGUGUGUGUGUGGAGCUGCUCUGCCCAGGGCUGUCGAGUCGGGGAUAGGCGGAAUAGCAAUAGGAGCGUACGGUUAGCGUGCCGAUACGGCCAGUCCGGAAUUGUUUGGCUCUCACUCGGCAUCUGGGUGACUUGUUUGAUAACUCGGUGUGAUUUUUCCAGAUGCGGACUGGCUAGAUGCCCACCGACGAGCGGCAGAGGAGGAGAGCAGAGCGCCGUAAGAAGGUGGCGGUCAGGCCUCGGCACGGCAGGCCGAAGAAUCCGACUCCGAGCGGCCGAGGAAAAGGGACAGGCGAGAGGAAGGCGUUUCCAAGGAGGGCUUCGUCGCAGCGGAGGUCGACGCCGGGCGGCACGUCGGCGACCGGCGACGCUCUGUCUCGUGAGGGAUGAAGCGGAACCUGGGGGAUGGGGGAGCGUCCCGGUUAGAUGACCUUUUCCCCAUGAGAAGGGAAUCUGGAUUCUGCCCUCUGAAAGCGUUGCAGCGUCAUUUCCGUGAUCUGUGCUUUUUCAUGUGUAUGGCGCCUUACGGCAGGUCUCUAGGUUCUGCCGCACGCGCUCGGCGAGCAUCCGCGGGGUCCGCGACGCCUCGUCGCUUCGGAAUACGGCCCGUCGAGCGUUUCUCGUCUCGCGAUCGGAGCUUAAAGCGCACCUCGCAUCGCAGAUGUUUCUGCGAGGUGGCCUUUGCGGAGGUGGUCCGUGCCGGACUCACAGUCGUGCUCUAGAAACUUCUGCCUCAAUUGAAGUUUGAUACCAUCUUUCAUCCCUGUAUGCUGUGGGAUGCCGGACUAGUCUAGUCUUGUUGGUGCCGAAUACAGGGCCAUUUUGACCCAGCAGAAGGGGCCUGGGGGAGUCCAGCUUGGGCGAGAGCAGGGAUUGAGCAACUUGCUUAUCUUGCACUGAUAAGCACCGGACCUGAACAGGGGCAGGAGAUGAGCAAUUUGUUCAUCUUAACAAGAUGCGGCGUCUGACGGGUCUACUCCUUAAUCAACUAAGUGACGCCUGGGGUGAGGGGGAGCCUCCUUCGCAGCUCGACCUUACUUUGGUAAAACUAAACAGACC